This 108-nucleotide non-coding RNA is filed under the name Cyclobacterium lianum. RNAcentral's name for it is "Fluoride sequence". It matches the Rfam family "Fluoride riboswitch aptamer (crcB RNA motif)". The record is from Rfam by way of RNAcentral. Lineage: Bacteria; Pseudomonadati; Bacteroidota; Cytophagia; Cytophagales; Cyclobacteriaceae.
CCCUAUGAUGGUGAUGGGGUGCCACCAAUGCUUGCAGAUUUCCGGGAUUAAUACUGGUUUUCACAACACAACCGCCGGGACUUUCUGGCUGAUGACUCCUGUUUCAAG